UCACAUUAGUGUCAAAAUAUGAGAUUCAUUAUGAUAUUCAUUAUGAGCUUCAUAAUGAUAUAAUAUCAUUUUUACACGGGGUGUAUAAAAAAUUAUU
Molecule: long non-coding RNA, 97 nt
Organism: Cotesia glomerata
Lineage: Eukaryota; Metazoa; Arthropoda; Insecta; Hymenoptera; Braconidae
Exons: 3
Source: RefSeq, a predicted model, not a curated record